GUCGGGCGGAAGCGCCGGUAAGCCGGUCCGGCCAGCCCCAAGGUAUGAACUCGAAUUUUUUUUACCAUAUGGAUUGAUUUAGAAUAUAUGAGGUAUUCAUAUACGAUGGAUCCAACUCAAGAAAUGUUUCGUGGACUCAAAGAUACAUUUCAGCGCAUGACGGAUCUCCAUAGUGCUGUUGAGGCAUUGCAGGAGCUUGACCUGUUUCGGCAGAAGAUUGGCGAGUUUGGUAGUGAAAUGACAAUGAAAAUGGCGAUGGACCCAAGGACAUCCCCAUCGUCCUGAUGGAUGAUGUUCGGAUCAAGCACUCCAAAGAUGCAGUACCUUGCCAUGCGGCUUGUUUCACAAUGUUGUUCGUCCAGUGGAUGCGAGCAGAAUUGGAGUAUUUUUGACUUUCUGCAUACAAAGGUUCGCAAUCGGUUGUCGCACAGAAACUUAACAAGCUUGUCUAUGUCAACUACAACCUUCAUCUGCGACUUGGGGAGGUCUCCGGCCCACCGAUGCGUGAAGAAGGUGAUUUCAUUGACCAGCUAGCCUAUCUUUCAUUCUAUGAUGAGAAUAAUCCGGUGCGGAAAUAGAUGGAAUAUGGUAAAUCUAACCGGGCUCCAGUUCUGGACAAGGAUGAUGAUGACGGAGACAUCCCUCUCCCGUCUCAUAUUGUCAGAGAUCAAAUAAACCUCUCAGAUCUACGUGAGGCUACGGGGGAUGAUUGCAUCAGCGAUUGGGCACAUAAACAUGUGGGUGACACUCACCUAGGGAAGAGGAAGUUCCAGAAGGGGCCUACGAAGGGUGACCUGAAGUGUCAAAAAGGAAAAGGCAAAGCAGCA
Molecule: long non-coding RNA, 827 nt
Organism: Panicum virgatum (switchgrass)
Lineage: Eukaryota; Viridiplantae; Streptophyta; Magnoliopsida; Poales; Poaceae
Exons: 2
Source: RefSeq, a predicted model, not a curated record